RNAcentral lists this long non-coding RNA (1910 nucleotides) under Citrus x clementina. RNAcentral describes it as "Citrus clementina (C. clementina) long non-coding RNA (CCLE_LNC004233)". Lineage: Eukaryota; Viridiplantae; Streptophyta; Magnoliopsida; Sapindales; Rutaceae. The record is from RNAcentral.
UUGUUAACAUGAAUAUGUUAAUAAUAUUGAUUUUGAUGAUAACAAACUUUAAAUGGUUUUUGAUAAAAAUGUUGGAGCUAUUCCUUAAUAAACGAAAGCCUUAAUAAUCAUUCCAUUCAUAUUCAUAAAAGAUGGACUUUCAAAUUAGAAAAAGAUUCUCUGCAAAAUCUGGUUUAAAAUGUGAUUCUGGAAAUAAACGGUGAACCGUUUUAUUUUAAACAGUUAACCGAUUAAUACCAGAGAGCAACAUAUUGCCUAAGCUCUAACCGUUUAUGAAAAACGGAAAACACAAAAGAUGGGAAGGCUACUAGAAUUUAACGGUGAACUGUUUAUAGAAACGGUUAACCGAUAACAUCCAGAAUUGAAGGUUGUACUCCUUUGGCACUGUUUAACAAAACCGGAUAAGGCUAAAUUGCUUUGCAGGAUACUGGAAACAAACGGCGAACCGUUUAUCACAAACGGUUAACCGAUAAUAUCCAGAGAAGUCAUUUCAUGCAAAUCCUUAACCGUUUAAUGUAAACGGAUAACUGAUGUUCAUCUUGCAGGUCUCUGGAAUUUAACGGCGAAAGGGUAAUCAUGAAAUGGCAAACCGUUUAUUUGAAUUUUAGCCCAACGGUAACUUUUGACCAGCCUAAACGGUUAACCGUUAAUGGUUAACGGUGAAUUGUUUUCGGGCCAACAAUUUGUAACGACUAGUUUUUCAACUCCAAAUAUAAAUAUGCCCAUUCAAAUUCAAAGAAGAUUGAUCACAACACGACUAUUGAGCUUAUAUUCGAGAAUACAAUCUUCAUAGAGCUUAGAACACAUUCUUGCUUCAUCUAUUCAUAUAUUGGGCAUCAUUGUGUAAUCUUAUAUAUUGUGAGAGGCAAACCAAAUUUGAAAUCUUUUGUUUUGAGUGAUUGUAAGUGUUGGGAUACACUUGGGUUAAAGAGAUUGGGAUAAUCUCUUGUUGUAAAGGUUAUUGACACCUUGGAAGUCAAGUGUAAGCAUUUGAAGCCUUGGAGGCUUGCUUAGUGGAAUCCUCAAGCCCGAAAAGCUUGGAGGCAUGGACGUAGGCGAGGUUGAUCGAACCACGUAAAAAUCUCUAUGUUUGAAUUUCUCUUCCCUUAUCUUUUUAUAUUGUGAUCAACUUAAUUGUUAUUGCUUUAAAUUCAUUCUAGAUUUGCAUGAUAAUUUGUCUUAGAAUCAAAUAAUUUUUAGAAUCCUAAUUCACCCCCCUCUUGGGUUGCAUACUUGUAUUUCAAAUAUAACUUGUAAAAAUUGUAAAACAAAAUAAAAGUAAAGUCACACGCACUAGCAAAAGCAACCUAAGAUAAUACCAAGUUACCAACAAUUUGCAAAGUCACCCAAAAACAAAGUAACAUAAUGCAAGUCACCAAUAAUUUGCAAACAAAAAACCCUAAGCUUUCCCGCCAUCACACGCACUAGCAACACCCAAUACUGGUUCAAUACACUCUCAACACCGAUUUGAAGGACGUCGGCCGUGCAAUGUCGGCUAGAGCAAGUCAUCUUCUUCCUCGAGUCCAUCGAGCCACUUCACAAUCACAUGUUCCAGCCGAACAAUUGCACUAUCACAACCUUCAAGAUCACAACCCGUACGGCUUCUCCUGGUUCCCAUCGUUGACGGCUCCGUAAUCACCACUUUUCGACAGGCACAACAGCCCUGGUGAAAGAUCAAACUGUGUUUGGUUUCAGAAACUUCGCCAUUUCAAUUAAUUGUGGCUUUAUUUGAACAAUUAAUUUCGGUGUUAUAUUAAUGUAUUAUUGUUACUUUAUUUGAACAAUUAAUCGUAUUGUGUUAUAUUUUAAAACUUUGAACGUAUUAUUGUAGUUUUAUUUGAACAAUUAAUCUCGAUGUGUUAUACUUUAAAACUAUGAAUGUAUUAUUUUAUCUUUAUUUAAACAAUUAA